Molecule: long non-coding RNA, 1034 nt
Filed under: Homo sapiens (human)
Lineage: Eukaryota; Metazoa; Chordata; Mammalia; Primates; Hominidae
Description: HSALNT0369482
Source: RNAcentral
GGGAGAAAGGAGGUCGAGGAGGAGGUGGUCGGUCGCCCCGCUGCUGCCUGGCAGCGCCUGGCACGGCUGAAUCUCAGCCACAGCGCUGUGUGUGCCAAGAGCUGCCAGGCGUAAGUCCGGUCAGCUGGAGAGACUUCUGAGACCGGGAGAGGAAGAACAGCCUGAUGCCUAUGGGCUCCUUUGGCUGUAUUCCCACCCAGCAGAUUGAAUCUCCUUGGAUAGCCAUACCUGCUGGAAUCAGCCCAACUUCAUCACGCAUCUUUGGACUCUGUAUGCUGGACUGCGAGAGAGUUCCCUCAUGAAAUCACCCAACAGCUGGGCUUUGUCUUCCAGUAGAGGAAAAAUUUAAGGAACAGCUGAAAUCUGUUGCUUAUCAUCAUAUUUUCCAGAGAAUGGAGCAACCCCACUUGUCAUCUGUUCACUCAGUAUCCAUCUAUGCUGUUGGUUCUGUAAGAUUUCCCUUGAGAUUAAAAUGUUGAAAGACAGCUUCAUUCUUUCCGUGCUCCAGUCCUUUUCAUAACACCUGCUCCAUAAAUGCACAUCACUCAAGUGGAAUUGUAUUUUGUGUAAAUCUGGUUUGAUAAACUGUAAAAAUGGCAAAACAUACAUUUAAAGAAGUUGGCAUUCAUAUAUCAUGCUGGGUACUUCUUUAAAAAAUAAUUCUAAACUAUGGCAUAUCAUUAAGAGGAGAAGGAUAGAACUGCCAGAGAGAAAAGGCCUUCAGUCCAGAUGAAGUUAUGACUUUGUGCAGUGAGUUCCUUCCUCUGGAAAGAAGUAUUAGCUGCAAUAAUCUGGCCACAUUCCAAGUUGGUCAAUGGUAUGCUGCCUCCCUAAAUUCUGCAGCUUCGAUUACAUUCAUUGUCCUAGUGCACUUCCUGUCAGGAAUGGUCGCAUUGAUCUGCCAGUUAAAACAGCUGUUGCUUCUGAUGCAUGAGAAACUACUAAAGUCAGUCUCUUAUCCAUCACCGAUGUAGGAGUUAGAAAUUGAAAGCCCAGUGACCAGGAGAGACAGAGGUAGAGAGAGAGAGAGAGAG